This 305-nucleotide ribosomal RNA is filed under the name uncultured bacterium. RNAcentral describes it as "partial 16S ribosomal RNA". It matches the Rfam family "Bacterial small subunit ribosomal RNA", at positions 505 to 809 of the family's 1533-position model. The record is from RNAcentral.
ACAGCAGUCGCCACGGGAAUACGAAGGGGGCUAGCGUUGCUCGGAAUUACUGGGCGUAAAGGGAGCGUAGGCGGGUCGUUUAGUCAGAGGUGAAAUCCCGGGGCUCAACCUCGGAACUGCCUUUGAUACUGGCGACCUUGAGUAUGGGAGAGGUAAGCGGAACUCCGAGUGUAGAGGUGAAAUUCGUAGAUGUUCGGAAGAACACCAGUGGCGAAGGCGGCUUACUGGCCCAUUACUGACGCUGAGGCUCGAAAGCGUGGGGAGCAAACAGGAUUAGAUACCCCCGUAGUCCCUGUCUCUUAUAA